AUGCAAGUCGAGGGGUAUAUGUCUUCGGAUAUAGAGACCGGCGCACGGGUGCGUAACGCGUAUGCAAUCUACCUUUUACAGAGGGAUAGCCCAGAGAAAUUUGGAUUAAUACCUCAUAGCAUAGUGACUCGGCAUCGAGAUACUAUUAAAGUCACAACGGUAAAAGAUGAGCAUGCGUCCCAUUAGCUAGUUGGUAAGGUAACGGCUUACCAAGGCUACGAUGGGUAGGGGUCCUGAGAGGGAGAUCCCCCACACUGGUACUGAGACACGGACCAGACUCCUACGGGAGGCAGCAGUGAGGAAUAUUGGACAAUGGGCGCAAGCCUGAUCCAGCCAUGCCGCGUGCAGGAUGACGGUCCUAUGGAUUGUAAACUGCUUUUGUACGAGAAGAAACACUCCUUCGUGAAGGAGCUUGACGGUAUCGUAAGAAUAAGGAUCGGCUAACUCCGUGCCAGCAGCCGCGGUAAUACGGAGGAUCCAAGCGUUAUCCGGAAUCAUUGGGUUUAAAGGGUCCGUAGGCGGUUUAGUAAGUCAGUGGUGAAAGCCCAUCGCUCAACGGUGGAACGGCCAUUGAUACUGCUAAACUUGAAUUAUUAGGAAGUAACUAGAAUAUGUAGUGUAGCGGUGAAAUGCUUAGAGAUUACAUGGAAUACCAAUUGCGAAGGCAGGUUACUACUAAUGGAUUGACGCUGAUGGACGAAAGCGUGGGUAGCGAACAGGAUUAGAUACCCUGGUAGUCCACGCCGUAAACGAUGGAUACUAGCUGUUGGAAGCAAUUUCAGUGGCUAAGCGAAAGUGAUAAGUAUCCCAC
This 811-nucleotide ribosomal RNA is filed under the name Flavobacterium sp. B187. Its description in RNAcentral is "bacterial SSU rRNA". It matches the Rfam family "Bacterial small subunit ribosomal RNA", at positions 55 to 872 of the family's 1533-position model. The record is from RNAcentral. Lineage: Bacteria; Pseudomonadati; Bacteroidota; Flavobacteriia; Flavobacteriales; Flavobacteriaceae.